This 1525-nucleotide long non-coding RNA is filed under the name Sus scrofa (pig). The record is from RNAcentral. Lineage: Eukaryota; Metazoa; Chordata; Mammalia; Artiodactyla; Suidae.
GGUAGCAGCCCUCUAGCAGCAAGAAAUACAGAGCAGCAAUUCUUCUUAGAUUUUAAUAGAUCCUACAUGCAUUAAACCACCUUGGACUUUCAAAUCGUGGAGUCACUGCAUGAAGAAAGAAAUGCCUACAGAAAGAGAAUGUACAUGAAAGGACAGCUGAGAAUCUGGUAUUGGCUCUCAGAUGCCCUCUUCUGUGCUUGGAUUUAUCCUAGUGAGAAUUCUCCUCAUUUCCAGCUUCUUUUUUGGGUAGUCCAAUUGAAAAAGCAAGUAAGACCUAUGAUGAACUAGGAUUAGAAAUUCAUUGAGGACAACUAUGAAUUUUUAUUAGAUCAGCCAACAUAUUAGUAGAGAAGACUGCCUGCUGGAAUAGUUUCUCUCAAUUUGAGCUGAAUAAUCUGGUUAAACUUUCACUUCAUCAAAAUGGUACAAAAAGUCUGAGCAUACACAGCUAAUUGGUGCUGUGGAGAAUAAACUGUACCCUUUUAUCUAUAGGAUGAGUAAAAUAGAAUACUUAUUUUCUGUUUUAUUAUUUAGAAUUCAAUUUUGAAUUCAAGAAGACAUACUCAUAUCUUAGAAAAAAUAAAAAGGAAAAGAAAAUUUGUAUUCCCCUUGGAUAAUGUAUCAGACUGUGCCUUAUCCAAGGAGCCUUUUACUUUCUCUCUGCUCUCUCCUUAAGAGGCAGCUCCUCAUAAUUGAUUGUAGACCCAGUAGACAUUGGCUGGUUGGACCUGAACACCUGAAGUACUAGCUUUUACACACUGGCAUCCACUUUUCAAAAACAUACAAAUAAAGUGACCACUACAUUUCCACUUACCUCUUUUUCAAGUGGUGAAAAUAUUCCAUUUAGAGUCAAUCAUAUAUAUCAAGUCAAGUCCCACUUUAAGUAUAUAUGGCCUAUAGAAAAACACUGUUUAUUUAAAGUCUACUUCCUUUCUUAUCUUCCAUAACUACCUCUCUGACUAAAUUAAGUAGUCAAUUCUGGCAAAACUUUCCAGUUUUUACCUCUAUGGGUAUGACUUUCACUUUAUGUGAAGCUUACGGCCACUGCUUGUCAAUAUCAGUUUUGCUUCUGGAGUGUACUCAACCCUUCCCUAUGGCAUUGUGGAGUUCUGCCUGGAAGAAGACACAGUCCUUAUCCUGGAGAGCAUAAUAAGCCAAUGUGAUAAUUUAAAUCUGAGCAUUAAAGCACUAUUAGAAAAAACAGAUGAGAUCAACAUGAUCAGAGACAAACAGCUAAAACAUUAAAACAAAUACAGCAGACGAGAAACAUGAAACAACGAGGGAAGUGAAAAGAAUCGUGGUAGCUCCAGUUCAUUGGUGGGAUAAACUUGCAAUUAAUAUUAAUAUUAUGCUUGUAUAUGGUGGUUAUGUACGUGAUAACUGCAAUGCUUGUCAUCUGAUAAUGAUUGGCCCAACUAAAGAUUUAUGCAUCUUGACCUGUCACAGUGAUUGAACUGAAACUCAAAUGCCAUGACUGAACUGAAAUACACUGACUUUCUCACCAGUGGUUUAUUUUAUUCAUAAG